This 626-nucleotide ribosomal RNA is filed under the name Bacillus haynesii. Its description in RNAcentral is "bacterial SSU rRNA". It matches the Rfam family "Bacterial small subunit ribosomal RNA", at positions 1 to 613 of the family's 1533-position model. The record is from RNAcentral. Lineage: Bacteria; Bacillati; Bacillota; Bacilli; Caryophanales; Bacillaceae.
UGGAGAGUUUGAUCCUGGCUCAGGACGAACGCUGGCGGCGUGCCUAAUACAUGCAAGUCGAGCGGACCGAUGGGAGCUUGCUCCCUUAGGUUAGCGGCGGACGGGUGAGUAACACGUGGGUAACCUGCCUGUAAGACUGGGAUAACUCCGGGAAACCGGGGCUAAUACCGGAUGCUUGAUUGAACCGCAUGGUUCAAUUAUAAAAGGUGGCUUCGGCUACCACUUACAGAUGGACCCGCGGCGCAUUAGCUAGUUGGUGAGGUAACGGCUCACCAAGGCAACGAUGCGUAGCCGACCUGAGAGGGUGAUCGGCCACACUGGGACUGAGACACGGCCCAGACUCCUACGGGAGGCAGCAGUAGGGAAUCUUCCGCAAUGGACGAAAGUCUGACGGAGCAACGCCGCGUGAGUGAUGAAGGUUUUCGGAUCGUAAAACUCUGUUGUUAGGGAAGAACAAGUACCGUUCGAAUAGGGCGGUACCUUGACGGUACCUAACCAGAAAGCCACGGCUAACUACGUGCCAGCAGCCGCGGUAAUACGUAGGUGGCAAGCGUUGUCCGGAAUUAUUGGGCGUAAAGCGCGCGCAGGCGGUUUCUUAAGUCUGAUGUGAAAGCCCCCGGCUCAAC